GAUGAACGCUGGCGGCGUGCCUAAUACAUGCAAGUCGAGCGAACAGACGAGGAGCUUGCUCCUCUAACGUUAGCGGCGGACGGGUGAGUAACACGUGGAUAACCUACCUAUAAGACUGGGAUAACUUCGGGAAACCGGAGCUAAUACCGGAUAAUAUAUUGAACCGCAUGGUUCAAUAGUGAAAGACGGUUUUGCUGUCACUUAUAGAUGGAUCCGCGCCGCAUUAGCUAGUUGGUAAGGUAACGGCUUACCAAGGCGACGAUGCGUAGCCGACCUGAGAGGGUGAUCGGCCACACUGGAACUGAGACACGGUCCAGACUCCUACGGGAGGCAGCAGUAGGGAAUCUUCCGCAAUGGGCGAAAGCCUGACGGAGCAACGCCGCGUGAGUGACGAAGGUCUUCGGAUCGUAAAACUCUGUUAUUAGGGAAGAACAAAUGUGUAAGUAACUAUGCACGCCUUGACGGUACCUAAUCAGAAAGCCACGGCUAACUACGUG
RNAcentral lists this ribosomal RNA (497 nucleotides) under uncultured bacterium. Its description in RNAcentral is "partial 16S ribosomal RNA". It matches the Rfam family "Bacterial small subunit ribosomal RNA", at positions 28 to 507 of the family's 1533-position model. The record is from RNAcentral.